This is a long non-coding RNA of Hyaena hyaena (striped hyena), 1674 nucleotides long. RefSeq lists it as uncharacterized. The transcript is spliced from 2 exons. NCBI's taxonomy places the organism in Eukaryota, Metazoa, Chordata, Mammalia, Carnivora, Hyaenidae. The record is from RefSeq and is a predicted model, not a curated record.
CUGAUGGCCACUUUGUUCUAAACACACCCGCCUUGCCUUCACUUGACUAGUGCACUUCAUAGACCCGGGCUCAGGGUUAUGUAAUGCCAUUGGGCUCCCUGUGGACAUGGGAGGGCCUGGGGGGGCGAUCAGGUCUCGGAAAAGACACCCCAGUGGGAGACAGUGAAUGAAGGGGCCUCUGUAGGUUCUAGCCGCUGCUGGGGGCCCUUCGAUGUGGCUGAGGGUGCAGAGCCAAGGCAGAGGCUUGGACGGGGUGGGGAGCAGGUCCUCAGCUGAGCACAGGGCAAGGCGGCGGCUUGUAAACUGGCGGCAGCUCCCAGAUGGAUUCUGCUGCUUCCCUUCUGGGACCUGCUCAGGGUCAUCAGCUCUCCAUUCUCACUGGGCCAGGACGGCUUCUCUUGCUCUCCGCUAUGGAGAGGGCCUGCUGGGGGAGGCGGGGGGAGCAGGCCCGGGAGGCCAUGAGGGUUCCUGGGCCCUUGGAGCAGAGCCUUUGAGCAAGCUGACCUUGUGGAGGUGAGACACCCUGGAUUGGAGCAGGGCGGACAUGCCUCCCCUCACUUGUAGAGGGGACUCAACAUCUCUGCGGGGGGCCCAAAUGGACAACCCCCUUUCUAGAAUCUGUCAAGAAUGGUCUGCCUUGGAUAGGAGGGAGAGGUGGAGGAGUGCCUUUGAAAACCAGCCGCACCCCCUCAGCGGGACCGUCCGUCUCUGUGUGUCCUGGUCUGCUACGUCGGACUAGGCUGCGGGCUGAGGGAGGAGGCUGGUCGCUGACCUCCAACAGGCUCUGGGAGGCCGAAGGCCCCCAUUCCCAGGCAGGCCCGUCUUGCUCGCCCUCGCGGCUGGGAAGCAAUGGGCAGGGUGGGCUAGACUCUCCCCAGGACCCUCACAAUGGGCGCUGUGGGCAUGGCUGCCCCUCCAGAGAUCAGAGGCAAAUUGGUGACCGAGUGAAUGUACCAGAGCGGGCAAUGGCAUUACAUGACCGCUAACAGAAACAUGGCAACCAACCAUUUCUUCUCCAAGGAACACAAAUAGAAGAUGUGCAGACCGGCAGGGGCUAGUGGCAGGGGCCGGCUGUGCAUUGGUUUCGAUGCCUCUCCGCUUUGGCCGCCCUGAGGCUGGGGGCCAAACACGAGAGCCGAUGAGGGGACCUGGAGUGAGGCGGUGCUUCGCCACCCCUCGGGAACCGUACUUCAGCGGCUCCGCCUCUGCACAUUGCCCACCAACACACAGGGUAGGAACCACUAGCUCUUCCUGGAGAGAACAGAACACGCAGCCUCCACCACGUCCCCAGAAACAGCCGCAGACUUGAGCUCACUACAUCAAGAACACCACACCGUGCUCCACGGAACAGCUCCAAGCACAGAGACAGAGGCAGACAGAGACAAAGAGAGAAAGAGACGCAACAUGGCAGCAGACACUGCUUUUUAUUAAACAUUAAAAAAAAAAAAGGCAAAAUCCAAGCAAACUUGAACCCGAGAAUGUACACAGAAGUAGGAAACACAGAGAACAGAGCUCUCCCAGCCAGCCAGCGGCGCUCUUUUCGGAGAACGUUUCAUAGACUGAAGUAGAUUCCAUGGGCCUCCAAGACAAUAGGAUCCUCUCUCCAUUCCUCGCCAUUCAUCGGCUGCCAACAUAAUCUGCACCAACUGGAGAUCAGAAACCAAAAAAAAAAAA